Molecule: ribosomal RNA, 348 nt
Filed under: uncultured bacterium
Lineage: Bacteria
Description: bacterial SSU rRNA
Rfam family: Bacterial small subunit ribosomal RNA
Source: RNAcentral
AGAGUUUGAUCAUGGCUCAGGACGAACGCUGGCGGCGCGCCUAACACAUGCAAGUCGAACGAGAGAGAGGGAGCUUGCUUCCUUGAUCGAGUGGCGAACGGGUGAGUAACGCGUGAGGAACCUGCCUCAAAGAGGGGGACAACAGUUGGAAACGACUGCUAAUACCGUAUAAGCCCACGACCCGGCAUCGGGAAGAGGGAAAAGGAGCAAUCCGCUUUGAGAUGGCCUCGCGUCCGAUUAGCUAGUUGGUGAGGUAACGGCCCACCAAGGCGACGAUCGGUAGCCGGACUGAGAGGUUGAACGGCCACAUUGGGACUGAGACACGGCCCAGACUCCUACGGGAAGCAA